UUUUGUUUUUUGUGUUUUGUUUUCAUGUGAAUGAGAAGAUGAACAAUGUGGUGUUCAUGAAAUCAUAUUGUAUUUGAUUUCUAUUCAUUUUGCAUUUUUUUAUUUAUUCUUUUUUUUAUAUUACUUUCAUCAUUGGGUGCAUAAAAAUGACAACUAGUUGGACAUGGUGGAGUGGUUGAGACAAAGGUCUCCCAACCACCGUGUCCCGAUUUCAAACCCUUGCUACCAUUUUUUCACUUUUUUUGUUUAGUUGCAAUCAAUUUUUAUCAUGUGCUUAUUUAUUUCAUGUUAUUCUUUAGAUAAGACAAAGGUCUCCCAACCACCGU
Molecule: long non-coding RNA, 326 nt
Filed under: Lathyrus oleraceus (garden pea)
Lineage: Eukaryota; Viridiplantae; Streptophyta; Magnoliopsida; Fabales; Fabaceae
Description: Pisum sativum (pea) long non-coding RNA (PSAT_LNC033228)
Source: RNAcentral